AGUUCAUUUGAUUAUUCAAUCAGGGAUUUUUCAAAUGCUAAUAUGAUAGGAGCAAAAGGUUAACUGGGCAACUCCUUGCCUGAUUUGGACAUGCUGCCAUUUGGAUGGCUAACUAAUCCUUGUUAAUGAGGCUUUGUUGCUAUUUUUUCUCUUUCCUGUUCAAAUGAAGGUCCACAUAGGUAUAGUAACCUCAAUUUAGAAGAGAAGAAAACACAGGUAUUGACAAAAGCACAACUAAGUUGUUUUCCAAUAUGUUCAUGUGUUAAUUUUAACUUGAGUAUAUCAAUAGGUUGAGUGAAUGUGUUCUUAUUCCACAGAUGAUUAUGUGGUCUAUGGACUAUGGCAAAAUCUCCCCUUAUGUUUUAAGCUAAAAUCUAACAGAUUUAACCCUUCAAUGAAUUAUUUUUCUUUCCAGACCAUCAAACAGAGAAUAAAAAAUAAAUAUCUGGCAAUCGAGAAAGUCAAUUGUUAUUGCUUCUUUGUUCACUUGAGGUAUGUUUUGAAGGACUAUUGCUUCUUGGAUUUUGUCGCGGUUUAACAUCUGUAUAGGGAAAAAGAACCAUCCACAAUUUUUCACCCUCAUGGUUGCUACUAUGCUCUUGGUAAGCAAUAUUGUCCACCUAUGCCUUGCUCAUUCACAUGGUUGAAUCUACUGCAACUAGCUAUAUAAGUUAUACUAUGUAAUUUGUUGAUCUAAAUGAUUUUUUUUCCUUCUUAUCUACAAAUUCUCGCCCUUAAUUUUCAUGGUUGCGAGUUUCAAAGCUAGUUCAAGUGGCUUUUUCUUCUUCCACUUCUUUUUUGUAGUUUCUGUUAUCUUAUAAGGUGAGUUGCUGACUAAUAUCAACCUUUUUUUCCAAAUAGCAAAAGUUGUAGUUCUUUUUUUUCUGCAACUUUAUUGAAUGAUAUAUGAUAUCAAUUUGUGACCUUUUGCAGGUGACUCAUUUACAUAUAAUUUGUAUUGGAUCUGGUUUUAAAUACUCUUUUUUUCUUUCUUUUUUUUUCUUGGGAGUUUAUUGAAUGAGGAUGCCAUUGUGUGAGCUUAUUGAAGGACGGUAAAGGUUUCAACAAAGAACACAAGACUCGGCUAUUGCGGUUUGUGACAUGCACAUCCAAGGUCUAUUGCUAUCCAGGACUUUGAACAUUUUAAUUUUUUAUAAGCUACUAAAUGUCUGGUUGUUUUCCAACUAUUUGAACAUAUUAUUUCAUAAUAUGAUAGUUAUGUGUAAUUAUACCUAUUUUCUUGAGAUCAAUUUAUUUCUGAAGCAUUUUAGUCAAUCAAGAAUGAGUCUCACCUCACAUGAUUGAACGUUACUGCAGAGUAUGUAAGGCUUUGGAACCUCACAAAGAAUAUUGUGAUAGUUGUAAUUUGAGUGAUCUGAAAUGAGGAUGGAUCUAUGACUUAGGCUUUUUCUUGCCUACGUAUAAUGAUCUAAGUAGUGUUGCUUACUAUUCAAUCUGCAA
This is a long non-coding RNA of Glycine soja, 1461 nucleotides long. RefSeq lists it as uncharacterized. NCBI's taxonomy places the organism in Eukaryota, Viridiplantae, Streptophyta, Magnoliopsida, Fabales, Fabaceae. The transcript has 2 exons. The record is from RefSeq and is a predicted model, not a curated record.